UACGUAGGGUGCAAGCGUUGUCCGGAAUUAUUGGGCGUAAAGAGCUCGUAGGCGGUUUGUCGCGUCGUUCGUGAAAACUCCACGCUUAACGUGGAGCGUGCGGGCGAUACGGGCAGACUUGAGUUCGGUAGGGGAGACUGGAAUUCCUGGUGUAGCGGUGAAAUGCGCAGAUAUCAGGAGGAACACCGGUGGCGAAGGCGGGUCUCUGGGCCGAUACUGACGCUGAGGAGCGAAAGCGUGGGGAGCGAACAGG
This 253-nucleotide ribosomal RNA is filed under the name uncultured Amycolatopsis sp. RNAcentral describes it as "partial 16S ribosomal RNA". It matches the Rfam family "Bacterial small subunit ribosomal RNA", at positions 524 to 776 of the family's 1533-position model. The record is from RNAcentral. Lineage: Bacteria; Bacillati; Actinomycetota; Actinomycetes; Pseudonocardiales; Pseudonocardiaceae.